AAACUUUCAACAACGGAUCUCUUGGCUCUCGCAUCAAUGAAGAACGCA
This 48-nucleotide ribosomal RNA is filed under the name Tuber borchii (whitish truffle). RNAcentral describes it as "5.8S ribosomal RNA". It matches the Rfam family "5.8S ribosomal RNA", at positions 1 to 47 of the family's 154-position model. From Rfam's summary of the family: 5.8S ribosomal RNA (5.8S rRNA) is a component of the large subunit of the eukaryotic ribosome. It is transcribed by RNA polymerase I as part of the 45S precursor that also contains 18S and 28S rRNA. Lineage: Eukaryota; Fungi; Ascomycota; Pezizomycetes; Pezizales; Tuberaceae. The record is from RNAcentral.